Molecule: ribosomal RNA, 253 nt
Filed under: uncultured bacterium
Lineage: Bacteria
Description: partial 16S ribosomal RNA
Rfam family: Bacterial small subunit ribosomal RNA
Source: RNAcentral
UACGGAGGGGGCUAGCGUUGUUCGGAAUUACUGGGCGUAAAGCGCACGUAGGCGGCUUUGCAAGUUAGAGGUGAAAGCCCGGGGCUCAACUCCGGAAUUGCCUUUAAAACUGCAUCGCUAGAAUUGUGGAGAGGUAAGUGGAAUUCCGAGUGUAGAGGUGAAAUUCGUAGAUAUUCGGAAGAACACCAGUGGCGAAGGCGGGUCUCUGGGCCGAUACUGACGCUGAGGAGCGAAAGCGUGGGGAGCGAACAGG